RNAcentral lists this ribosomal RNA (563 nucleotides) under uncultured Bifidobacterium sp. RNAcentral describes it as "bacterial SSU rRNA". It matches the Rfam family "Bacterial small subunit ribosomal RNA", at positions 146 to 711 of the family's 1533-position model. The record is from RNAcentral. Lineage: Bacteria; Bacillati; Actinomycetota; Actinomycetes; Bifidobacteriales; Bifidobacteriaceae.
UCUCCUGGAAACGGGUGGUAAUGCCGGAUGUUCCACAUGAGCGCAUGCGAGUGUGGGAAAGGCUUUUUGCGGCAUGGGAUGGGGUCGCGUCCUAUCAGCUUGUUGGUGGGGUAACGGCCUACCAAGGCGUUGACGGGUAGCCGGCCUGAGAGGGCGACCGGCCACAUUGGGACUGAGAUACGGCCCAGACUCCUACGGGAGGCAGCAGUGGGGAAUAUUGCACAAUGGGCGCAAGCCUGAUGCAGCGACGCCGCGUGCGGGAUGGAGGCCUUCGGGUUGUAAACCGCUUUUGUUCAAGGGCAAGGCACGGUUUCGGCCGUGUUGAGUGGAUUGUUCGAAUAAGCACCGGCUAACUACGUGCCAGCAGCCGCGGUAAUACGUAGGGUGCAAGCGUUAUCCGGAUUUAUUGGGCGUAAAGGGCUCGUAGGCGGUUCGUCGCGUCCGGUGUGAAAGUCCAUCGCUUAACGGUGGAUCCGCGCCGGGUACGGGCGGGCUUGAGUGCGGUAGGGGAGACUGGAAUUCCCGGUGUAACGGUGGAAUGUGUAGAUAUCGGGGAGACACCA